CUUGAAUAGAUGGAACCACAUUUAACUUUUAUUUAUUUUUCUGACCAGUCUAUUUUAAGACAUGCAGCACAUUUCGCUGUUGCUACUCUUUCCAAAUUAUGCUUUAAGGGAAAAUAUGUGUGAUUAGCAGCUAAUAAUUAGUGAGAAAAUAUUUAGCAUAUAACAGGACUAUAUCUUACGGCAAAGAGUCUAUUAUUUGUAUGAGUGUGUGCGUGUGCGUGUGUGUGUGUGGGGGGGGGGGGGGGGGGGGGGAGGGGGAAGGACACGACAGAUCCGUGACACUUUCUCACGGUGACUUUUUCUCACGGACUCAGUCGGUGAUGCGCAGUCUCUGAGAAGGAAAGCGCAUGGACAGUAGCAGCUGCAGCAAGAGGACGCGAUUCAGCGGUUUUUUCAACAUUUAUGUCCAACUUUGCUGACUGAUCAGCGCUGGUUUGUGAGCGUGGAGGGCCAGGUUGUCAGUGAGGGAGUGUCCUUUGUGCUGGGGCUUGCUGUUCUGAUGUCAACGUACUACAACUUUAACCUGCAAUACCAGGACAAUGCUGCAUGCUCAUUGGAGUUCAUUCAGAGAAUCUGCAUGGGGAUUAAUCCUGAGAGAGGAUCAAAGGCAUACAGUGGACAGCAGAAAAACUGGAAAGAUGGUCCAGAAGAAACCAUCAACAGUGAACCCGCAUGUCUGCACCCUAAUCAGGAAGCUCAACGACUUCAAGUGGGACUUUGUUUGAUCUUUUCUCAUUGUUUUAACCCUUUGACGCGUACGAACACACCGGUGUGUUGAGUCCUGGCUGGUCCCUGGAGCGUACCAACACACCGGUGUGUUGGAACGCGUCCUUUAGAAUGUCCAGUUUAGCUUAUUACGUAACAAUAAACUCUUCAGCAUUAGCCUACGCGUAUGUUAUAAACAUGAAUCUCAAUUUACUGUAUAUUUUGAGAAAGUUUACCUUUAUUAUCCAUAAGAAAACGUUCAAACAAUUUAGUUUAGCUAAUGUUAGCUGACAGCUAACCAAAAAUAACUCAUGCUUUACUCACGCCACCUAGUAAACCAUAAUAUUAUCCGUUUUCCUUGACUUGGCUAUCGCUUUCAAAAGAUUUUACUAUUGUACAACCAACCAGAGAUCAAAAUAAUAGAUAUACGUUCACAAAUAUGCAUCUAAAACAUCUGACAUUCGUCUGUCUUUCGUCUCGUUUUGAGCUACUAGAGGCCAUCUUUGAUUUUUUUGUCUUCCGGCAACAAAUAUGACCCUUGAUGAUGUACCCCUUGACCCCGUACACCUCAGUAUUUUCUCGUGAGAAGAGUAGGUCAUCUCGUUGACCAUUUGACACCCACAAUGCAGAGUACUGAUCAAAACAAAAAACAUGGCAGCCUACAUUAUCGUCAUUAGCCAAGUUAGCUUCUCGAAAAGCUACACUACGAUAAUAUAUCAUAUCAAUUCACUGUGGAUUCACCUGUGUGAAUAUUUAAAAAUCGGAACAGUAAUGACAGUACUAAGUUAUUUUAAUAAAUAUUUUAAUAAGUUAAAAAGCCCACACCAACACGUUUCUUAAUUUUUAACACGUAUCCUUUUACUCAUUUCAGGUAGCUAAUUACAUGUCCAGGAAAGGGUACAAUCUCGUCAUUGUCACGUUACAUAUCAAUGAAUAUCAUUAGCACACAGCUAUAAAAAAUAUCACAUCAAAAUUAUUUAAAACCUUGACACUGUGUAGGGGUAGGCAAAGCUUCCGUCAACAUAUCGGCAAAAAGGUACAGCAUGUUUGAGUUGUGUGAUGUACUGGCUAUGUUUAGGACAUGAUCCUUUACACAGGAUCCACUAUGGACAUCCAGGAUCAUGAAGGGCUUGGGAUUUCUGGAUCUGUUGUCAUGACAAGUCAACUGGUAUUUAUUGUCAUCAUAUACUUACAGUACACAAUGAAACAAAACAACGUUCUUCCAGG
This is a long non-coding RNA of Osmerus eperlanus (European smelt), 1932 nucleotides long. RefSeq lists it as uncharacterized. The record is from RefSeq and is a predicted model, not a curated record. The transcript is spliced from 3 exons. Lineage: Eukaryota; Metazoa; Chordata; Actinopteri; Osmeriformes; Osmeridae.